Molecule: long non-coding RNA, 710 nt
Filed under: Setaria italica (foxtail millet)
Lineage: Eukaryota; Viridiplantae; Streptophyta; Magnoliopsida; Poales; Poaceae
Description: long non-coding RNA (SITA_LNC000601)
Source: RNAcentral
UUGCAAGAAUUCUGAACGGUAGCAGUUUAAAUGUUUCAAGCAUUUAGCAUGUGGUUACCAAAACUUAUCCAAUUGAAUUAUGAAUAAUUACUGAAAAAUAGAAUUGUAGGUACUAGGUAACCACGUCACUAGGAGCAGCCCUACACGUCACUAGGAGCAGCCCUACACGAAGUGAGAUUUAUCACAAUAAAGUCUUCUACUACAUUUGCUGAGAGCAUUGGCAAAAUAGCACAUGAAAGAUGACUAAGUCCAUUUACACACACAAAGGGGGAGUAGGUGACAGGUGGCUAAGUUGAUAAAAAUUCAGGGAAUAAUAAAUAUUAAGUUAUAGUGCUUAAUCUCAAGUUUACAUAGGUGUAACAAAACGGAAGUGUCAGUGUAAAACGGGAGUACGGGAUAGUUUUUGGGUAUGACAAGACACAAGAGGUCACUGUGAAUUUGAAUGCUUCAGAUCCUCCCCAAUUUUGCUGAGAAGAUUAUAAUUCUAGGAGAAUCCGAAUGCAUCUAAUGAACUUACAAAGAAUGGGAAAGCAAGAGGAUUAAAAAAUAUUCAAGUUACGGCAUUUAGCUGGUUUUGUAAAUCUUGUGGUGCAAAAAUGAGUGAUAAUGUAUAUUGAGCUAGAAUGCAUAACAAUGUAUAAAUGUUCGAAAGAAAAAUUUCAAGCCCCACUAUGAACUUGUAGGUAUUGCGAACUAAACUGAUUAUAUAG